This 1021-nucleotide ribosomal RNA is filed under the name human metagenome. RNAcentral's name for it is "bacterial LSU rRNA". It matches the Rfam family "Bacterial large subunit ribosomal RNA", at positions 1910 to 2925 of the family's 2925-position model. The record is from RNAcentral.
GAUCGAAGCCCCAGUAAACGGCGGCCGUAACUAUAACGGUCCUAAGGUAGCGAAAUUCCUUGUCGGGUAAGUUCCGACCCGCACGAAUGGCGUAACGAUGGCCACACUGUCUCCUCCCGAGACUCAGCGAAGUUGAAGUGGUUGUGAAGAUGCAAUCUACCCGCUGCUAGACGGAAAGACCCCGUGAACCUUUACUGUAGCUUUGCAUUGGACUUUGAAGUCACUUGUGUAGGAUAGGUGGGAGGCUUUAAAGCAGAGACGCCAGUCUCUGUGGAGCCGUCCUUGAAAUACCACCCUGGUGUCUUUGAGGUUCUAACCCAGACCCGUAAUCCGGGUCGGGGACCGUGCAUGGUAGGCAGUUUGACUGGGGCGGUCUCCUCCCAAAGAGUAACGGAGGAGUUCGAAGGUUACCUAGGUCCGGUCGGAAAUCGGACUGAUAGUGCAAUGGCAAAAGGUAGCUUAACUGCGAGACCGACAAGUCGAGCAGGUGCGAAAGCAGGACAUAGUGAUCCGGUGGUUCUGUAUGGAAGGGCCAUCGCUCAACGGAUAAAAGGUACUCCGGGGAUAACAGGCUGAUUCCGCCCAAGAGUUCAUAUCGACGGCGGAGUUUGGCACCUCGAUGUCGGCUCAUCACAUCCUGGGGCUGUAGUCGGUCCCAAGGGUAUGGCUGUUCGCCAUUUAAAGUGGUACGUGAGCUGGGUUUAAAACGUCGUGAGACAGUUUGGUCCCUAUCUGCAGUGGGCGUUGGAAGUUUGACGGGGGCUGCUCCUAGUACGAGAGGACCGGAGUGGACGAACCUCUGGUGUACCGGUUGUAACGCCAGUUGCAUAGCCGGGUAGCUAAGUUCGGAAGAGAUAAGCGCUGAAAGCAUCUAAGCGCGAAACUCGCCUGAAGAUGAGACUUCCCUUGUGGUUUAACCACACUAAAGAGUCGUUCGAGACCAGGACGUUGAUAGGUGGGGUGUGGAAGCGCGGUAACGCGUGAAGCUAACCCAUACUAAUUGCUCGUGAGGCUUGACUCU